CUUNUGAACCUGGCGGCGUGCUUACACAUGCAAGUCGAACGAACCUUCGGGUUAGUGGCGGACGGGUGAGUAACGCGUGAGAAUCUGCCCUCAGGAGGGGGAUAACGGUUGGAAACGACCGCUAAUACCCCAUAUGCCGAUAGGUGAAAUGAAUUUCGCCUGAGGAUGAGCUCGCGUCUGAUUAGCUUGUUGGUGAGGUAAUGGCUCACCAAGGCUUCGAUCAGUAGCUGGUCUGAGAGGAUGAUCAGCCACACUGGGACUGAGACACGGCCC
This 273-nucleotide ribosomal RNA is filed under the name uncultured cyanobacterium. RNAcentral describes it as "partial 16S ribosomal RNA". It matches the Rfam family "Bacterial small subunit ribosomal RNA", at positions 36 to 332 of the family's 1533-position model. Lineage: Bacteria; Bacillati; Cyanobacteriota. The record is from RNAcentral.